UUAAGCUGUGUCCCUUGACCAGUUGUGGCUCUGUGUGUCAAGACCUCGCCUGCAGUUGUAAGGUUCUGUGACCUGAUCAAGGGUUAAAGAGGAUUCCAUAACCCACACCAUAAUAGUGGAUCUGGCAUCCUAGCAAACGAGGCCCAGUGGGCCUGCAAGGAUUGCAGCCUCUCUGGGGGCCUCCUCAUGACUCCAUCCUUACCUACACAACCCUGGACCAAGCCUGGAAUCUCCACAGCCUCAUUAUCACUCUCAGCCUUGGUUUUGAUAUCGAGAAACCAUGGGAAGCAAAGGAGACAACCUCAUGGCGUGAUUUCGAGGCUAAACCGAUCCAAACCCAGGCCUUCACAUGGUUUUGGACAAAGUUCUUUGUGAGGGUUAUUUUCGUCAUGAGAGUGAUUAAUGUCAUGUGUUGGCCAUGGAGAGACAAGUGUACCCCCGUGGGAGGAACUUGGCAGAGAAGCGGAGCAGAGCCCGAGUUAAUUUUAGAAAUCUUCGAUGUUGCAGGGGGCGACAGGGGAAACUCGGUUCUGCCAAGGAUGAACUAACUACCUGAGACCAUUAAGCCCCCAAAGAACAGCUUUUGCAUCUGGUCUCUCUCCUUCCCUGCUCCUUGUUCAUCAAGUAACAGGAAGCCUGCCU
RNAcentral lists this long non-coding RNA (642 nucleotides) under Mus pahari (shrew mouse). RNAcentral's name for it is "lncRNA (MGP_PahariEiJ_G0006129.1)". The record is from RNAcentral. Lineage: Eukaryota; Metazoa; Chordata; Mammalia; Rodentia; Muridae.